CCUACGGGUGGCAGCAGUGAGGAAUAUUGGUCAAUGGACGAGAGUCUGAACCAGCCAAGUAGCGUGAAGGAUGACUGCCCUAUGGGUUGUAAACUUCGUUUAUAGGGGAAUAAAAUGUUCCACGUGUGGGAGUUUGUAUGUACCAUAUGAAUAAGGAGCGGCUAACUCCGUGCCAGCAGCCGCGGUACUACGGAGGAUCCGAGCUUGAGCCGGAGUGCUUGGGGUUAACGGGAGCGUUGGGGGAUUGUUAAGUACGUUGUGUAAGUUGGCGUCUCAACCGUACAAUUGCAGUUGAAACUGGCAGUCUUGCGUCCUGUAGAGGUGGGCGGUCUUCGUGGUGUCGCGGU
RNAcentral lists this ribosomal RNA (347 nucleotides) under uncultured bacterium. RNAcentral's name for it is "partial 16S ribosomal RNA". It matches the Rfam family "Bacterial small subunit ribosomal RNA", at positions 338 to 682 of the family's 1533-position model. The record is from RNAcentral.